This is a long non-coding RNA of Gavialis gangeticus (Gharial), 788 nucleotides long. RefSeq lists it as uncharacterized. The record is from RefSeq and is a predicted model, not a curated record. Lineage: Eukaryota; Metazoa; Chordata; Crocodylia; Gavialidae. The transcript is spliced from 2 exons.
AGGUAGGACACUAUUGAAGAAGCAACAGUAAUCAGACUGAGCCUAACACAGAUUUGUCCUGUGAGAGUAUUUUUGACCUGUCCAGGAUCCCAACUGGGAGAACGCUGACCACCAGGAAAGGUAGGGAGACAGAACUACAACUAAUGUUGUGGAAUAAGGCAAUCACAAUGAAUUGUGGGGACUUUCAGCUUAAUGCCUUGACCUAAAGGGAGUGAAUGUGAGAAUUGCACCACCGAAAAUGGAUUGAGGAAGCUUAGCAUCACCAACCUUUUUCAAGUCAGUACCUUGACUUGUGGCUGUGUUUUUGGGAAUGCUGAAUUCCCUGUAUUUGGUUCCUAGGAUAAAAAUAGGAAGACAGUUAUUCUAUAAUCUUUUUUUAAAAAUCAACACAGACUAAUGUAAUGAUGAAGAUGUUGAAAUGAAGAUGUAACGUAAGUGCCAAAUCCUCAGCUGAAUCAGUGAAUUCCAUCCAUCUCAGUAGAAUGGACCCUUUCACUUUGGCUGUAGAUGCGGACCAUACAUAUGAAAACAUAUUUUAUUUGUUUUUAAAGUAAUGAUAAGUAUUAUGUUCCAGGGUUUAGCUAGUAAUUGAAUACUAUCAAAAUAUAGCAAGGUCCCUACUUUUGCAUUAAAGAAAAUGAAUGUCUUUAAUUUUGAUAAUUAUACAGAUGAUAAACAGCAUUUUCUCCAUGGUUAAAAGCAAAACUAAGUUGUUGAUCAUAUUCUUCAAAUAAGUGAUGGCUAGAGAAUGGUAUUUAGAAAUUUACUUCUAGAAAGUGGCUUGUAGG